This 398-nucleotide ribosomal RNA is filed under the name uncultured bacterium. Its description in RNAcentral is "bacterial SSU rRNA". It matches the Rfam family "Bacterial small subunit ribosomal RNA", at positions 358 to 773 of the family's 1533-position model. The record is from RNAcentral.
GGAAUAUUGGACAAUGGGCGCAAGCCUGAUCCAGCCAUGCCGCGUGAGUGAAGAAGGCCUUAGGGUUGUAAAGCUCUUUCACCGGUGAAGAUCAUGACGGUAACCGGAGAAGAAGCCCCGGCUAACUUCGUGCCAGCAGCCGCGGUAAUACGAAGGGGGCUAGCGUUGUUCGGAAUUACUGGGCGUAAAGCGCACGUAGGCGGAUUGUUAAGUCAGAGGUGAAAUCCCGGGGCUCAACCCCGGAACUGCCUUUGAUACUGGCUGUCUUGAGUUCGGGAGAGGUGAGUGGAAUUCCGAGUGUAGAGGUGAAAUUCGUAGAUAUUCGGAGGAACACCAGUGGCGAAGGCGGCUCACUGGCCCGAAACUGACGCUGAGGUGCGAAAGCGUGGGGAGCAAAC